UCUUCUUCUUCUGUUGUUGCUGCUACUUUAUAGUUGACCCGAGUAUAUGAAGUGCGUCAAAAUCGUUGGGGGUUGCUGGUUCGCUUGUUAUGUUGUUGGUAGUGGGUUUGGCCAAAGAACAAAAAGAGAUGGGUAGUUGGGUGUUUCAGGGAGGAGGGUAGCCAAGUAUCUUAAGCCACAACCAAGGCCACCCAUUGUUCCACAACUAUGGCCGUAGCCUCUACCUCCUCCACCUUUGCAUCUAUCAUACCUAAUGCCAAGAUAUAAAAAUUGAUGGUAAAGGUUAUGAAUUUCUUGUUAGAUGCCCAAUUGACAGUUAAUUGGGAUUUUCAUGUUUUUAAUUGAUAUUAGUUGUUUUACAUUGUGAUACCCAUAAUCUGUUUGAUGGAAGGUCUGAGAGAAGAGAGAAGCAGAGAGAGUAAAUUGGGUUUUUUUUUU
This 438-nucleotide unclassified non-coding RNA is filed under the name Hevea brasiliensis (rubber tree). Lineage: Eukaryota; Viridiplantae; Streptophyta; Magnoliopsida; Malpighiales; Euphorbiaceae. The record is from RNAcentral.